This 433-nucleotide ribosomal RNA is filed under the name uncultured bacterium. RNAcentral describes it as "partial 16S ribosomal RNA". It matches the Rfam family "Bacterial small subunit ribosomal RNA", at positions 29 to 507 of the family's 1533-position model. The record is from RNAcentral.
AACGAACGCUGGCGGCAUGCCUAACACAUGCAAGUCGAACGAGACCUUCGGGUCUAGUGGCGCACGGGUGCGUAACGCGUGGGAACCUGCCCUUAGGUUCGGAAUAACUCCCCGAAAGGGGUGCUAAUACCGGAUAAUGUCUUCGGACCAAAGAUUUAUCGCCUUUGGAUGGGCCCGCGUUGGAUUAGCUAGUUGGUAGGGUAAAAGCCUACCAAGGCGACGAUCCAUAGCUGGUCUGAGAGGAUGAUCAGCCACACUGGGACUGAGACACGGCCCAGACUCCUUCGGGAGGCAGGAAGGGGGAAUAUUGGACAAUGGGCGAAAGCCUGAUCCAGCAAUGCCGCGUGAGUGAUGAAGGCCUUAGGGUUGUAAAGCUCUUUUACCCGGGAUGAUAAUGACAGUACCGGGAGAAUAAGCUCCGGCUAACUCCGUG